ACUUUCUUCAGCCUUUUUUGCUUCUUUUCGUAGUUUCUCAGCUUCUUGCUGCUCUUUGAAUAAUCUAAUCAAUUCUUCUGUUGCUGUAGGUACAUCUCUGAUAUGUGCACCAAGCUUUUCCUGAAAAAUAAAGACGAAUAUAAAUGUAUACGAAUAUAAAUAUGAUAUUUAACAGUCAUUUAAAAAGGAAUUUUAUAUUUACAUUAGGGAAUUCUGCCUGAUUCAUUUCGGGUUUUGUAAAAGUAAACGGUGUCCAAGGUCCUUGAAUAGAGGGGAAAUCUGUACGCCACAAUUUUAAUAAUCGCAUAGCAGAUCCAUCAUGAAAUUGUGUCUUCAAUAGGUGCAUCCAUUGUACAAUAUCUUCACGACUGUAAUUGGAAACACACAUCCAAUGUGUGUCUCCAUUUACUAUAACAUGUAUUCAAUAUUUAUAUAUAAACAUUUAUCUUACUUCAUUCAAAAAACUGUUAAACUUACAAUAUUCUGCUUUUAUAACUGGAACUCUGUGUCUCCUUGGUUUAACGUACACUACAACUCCAGGAUUGUCUCUCGCAAAAUCGAUUAAAUCAUUUUCCAAAAACUUCCUACAUAAAAUCGAAAUGUUCAUUAAUGAUGCACAUAUAAUUUAUAAAAUGAUUUUACACGUGACGAAGUAACCUUUACUGAAUGUAUACAAUUACAGGAUACAGAUGAUAUUAUAGGUUAUUUGUGAAACAGAGUAACAAAAAAAUCAAAUAAUAUAUAAUACAAGUAUAAAAAUGAUAAACAAUAAAUAAUUAGAUACCUUGCAACGGUAUUAUCAGUGCAUUCGUAUACUAAAAUUAGGUUUACUAUAAAAAGGUUAGGAGCGUAAAAAUAUUUUACCUAACUCCGUCACUACCACCGUUGCUUUUACAAAACUUUAAUGUAACCCUUUGAAGCUGGCAUACAUAGCGUCCAAUACCUAGGCCAAAAGGUGGCUUUAAAUAUCCAUAUUUAAGGAAUAAAUUGUGAUUUGACAUUUUCCUAGUAAAAAACGUAAAUAAAAUUUCUUUAAAUUAUCUACUCCGUUUCGUGUUCACUGUUUACUAGACAGGCGCAUGUCUAGUAAAGCAUUCUCUAUUUUUUUCAAUAUGAUAACGAUAAUAAGUUUAUUUCACAUUUUGGAAUUACAUUAAUUUCUUAAAAUACAAUCUUAUGUCGAAAAAUCUGUUCAAAUCAUAUUUAACUGUUAUCAAACCAGCGUGGCUCAAUUACGUUACAUUUAACUGGAGGCAAAGGAAUCGGUACUAUGGAAGGUAAAGAUGUCGGUAAAAAUUCUCCUGGCCAAAAAUGUACGGCAUCCAUAAAUAAGCAUCCUAUUAGAAUACCGUGCAUUACAGGCGCUAAAAUCCUCAUAAGUCUGCUUUUAGGUGGUUUUUGGGGCCAAACGAAAAUCAAUCGUGAUCCAUCUAUUGCGUACCGCGAAAAUAAAUUAACAUUAUUACACAUGUAUGACGCGUAUAAUAUAAAGUUAUCUACAGGAUGUCGCAAAAAAAUGUUAUCACACUUUAUCAGCUGGUAAAACGCUAAAUUUUAUUUUUAUAUUUUUUCAUUUUUAAUCAAAGUAUCGUAACAUUUUUUUCGACACCCUAUAUUUAUUAUGCAUGGAGUUAAAACGAUGGACUUGUAUUGCGACGUAUGAUCGACGAUUUAACGUGGUGAGGGCUGACGCCGGGAGGAGCGCUAAAUAUUGCAUUUUCAGUGGAAGUUUUCCUCUUCUUAUAAUUAAAUUUACGCCCACCGUCUUGUCUGUAUAGUAGGCGAUCUUCGAAAUUACGUUCGUAGUUGGACCUAGCCAAGCUCGUAAUCGUACUUCCUGUACUGUCUUGGAGGGAAACGCUGGUUCCGGUUAUUAAGGAACAUUUAUCAUCGUCUAUGUCACGACUUGUCAGGUCCUCUGUCCUUCUGAAAACUAGUUCACUGUUUUGCCGCCAAUUUCAUUUCGGUUGAAAGAAGUCUUCAAGAAGUUUUCAAAUUGGAUUCACUUUGAAGAACGAUAGAUUUCACGUCACCUGGUACAAGGAAACUGCAUUUUUUAAACAAAAUGGCUCAAUGUAAAUGUCCCGAAUCGGAAGUAAAACCGGUAGAAUGCCCUCCAUACUUCGAAAGUAUUACCUCGAAAAUGGAAGAACGUCAUUGCGACCUAAUGGUUAGACAAAAAUAUUUGAGAGACAAGGUCUCAACGAUGGAACGUUCGAUGCCAGCAUUAAUCGCGUAUAAUAUGUGGAUGUCCAAGGACAAAUGCAGCGAUGCACCAUCGUGCAAAGUUCGAGACAUUAUGAAGAAAUUUUCCAGGCAACCAGAUCCAACAGAGAAGCUUCUAAAAAGCUUGAAGGAGACAGUGAAGGAGUUGAACGGGCAAACAGCCGAGUUGCAUGAGAAGAUUAUUCAAGCAGAUGUUAAGUUAGAGGAAACUGAUAUAGAGUUAGAGUCUCUAGAACUAUUAAAUAAAGAGAUGAACGAAAAAUUAACUGGUUUAGAAAAGGAAAUGAAUAAUUAUGCCACUCCAAGUCUUCACUCCAUACAUUCCGAGGAUUUGAUAUGCUUAUCAAAAAUACACCAACUGGCUAAAGAGGAAUUAUGUUUGAAACAUUGUAUUAAGCAACUAGAGCAGAAGGAGACAUUGUUUAGAGAACAUAUGGAAAGAAUAUUAACAUCCAAAGAAUAUCAAAAUAUUUGUGAUAAACGAAAAAUAGUCAGCUGUCUUCAAAGUGUAGAUUGCACUGGAAGAAUGAUAUGCUAUGAGCCUAAAAAAUGCCUGUUGCGCAAGCCAGCUGUUUGUCGUUCAAAGAAGAAGUUGGUUCAUGAAGAUGUAGAGAUUGUUAAAGAAAGUGAAAAUACACAAACGCAAAAUGAUGUAAUAGUCUCUACUUCUGAACACAAUGUUAGCAAUGAAUUGGAGGAAAAAGUAAAAAUGAGGUCUUCAUGGAUACCCAACUGGUGGUCAGGUAAUAAAAAGAAUCAGGUGGAUGCUCCCAUUCCAAAAAGUGAUGAAGUAAUAACAAUUUCUGGUAGCAAAAAUAAUGUAAUUGACAAAACAAUCAUACCUGAAUCUUCGAUUAAAUUAAACAAUUUUGAGAAAAAACCAAAUGGAAAAAAGUUAGUUAGCAAUAAACUACCUCAGAAAUCAGGGCACACAACACCUUGUAAACCUUGUGGCCAAGAAGUUUGUCCUCUGCCAUCAGCUACAGAGAGUGGAAGCAAAAAUGGGAAAAAUAGACUUUGUGCAGGAAAAUUGCAUAAACCUUAUAAUACUUUUUGUAUAAAAGGGUUUAAAGGGUUUUCUAGUUCUAUGAUGUCAAGAAAACCCUUUUGCGAUAUUCCAUAUCGUUUAACAGAUCAUGGUAUUCAAAAAACAUGUAAAUUGUAUAUUCCAACAUGCAAUCUUAGUAGUCCUGGUGAAAUUUGUCCUUCAAUGUCCUACAAGAACUGUUUUCAACCAUUAAAUAACUGCAGAUGUAAUUAUAAAGGAAAGUGUGCUAGAGGAUUGUCAGGGGUAGAAUGCAAUUGUAGUGAUGCAUUGGACUUACUGGAAAGUUACCAACCCUUAGCUUCACAACUGCAUCCUGAAGAUCUGAAUGCUGAAGACAAUAAUACUGACGAUGAAUUCUGUGAAUGCUGUUCUUGUGGCUGUGAAGAUACUGAUGAAUUCUCUGCAUGUCAAUGUAAUUAAUCAUAAUUACACCAGGCUUGAGAAGAAUGGACAUAUUUGUCAGGUCAUAAUCUAUAUUUCAUCAUAUUCUUUUUUAAACAUAUAAUGAUUUUAGAACUCUAUAUGGAAAGGAAAGUACUUGUGUUUUCCAAGGCUGAAACAAAUUCAAAUAGAGAAUUGAAAAGAAAUUUCUGAAUUUUUUUCUAAUUACGAUAAAACGUAAUGAAACUUACUUGAAUCUAUCAAUGAAUCUAAAAUUGCGAUUUAAAUUAUUCAUUGUAUUCAUAUCCUGAGGGCUUAGUUCAAAGUCAAAAAUGUUAAAAUUCUCUUGCAUUCUCGAUUUCGUAACUGACUUGGGAAUCACUAUGUGUUCAAGUUGUAUCUGUUAAUAAAUUUUCAAGUUACAGUUUAUAUUGAGAAUAUAAUUUUCGAAGUUAUAGAUUCUGAAAUAUGUACCUGAUGUCGCAAUAUAAUCUGUGCAGGAGAUUUUUUAUAUUUAUCAGCAAGUUCUUUGAUUGUAGGGUCUUCCAAAACUCGUGGUUCAUCAGGGGAAACAUCUGGCCUAUCUGGUGCACCAAAAGAACUAUAAGCAGUGAUCGUGAUACCCCUGGUCUUACAGAAUUCAGUAAGUUUUAUCUGGUUUAAAUAAGGAUGGCAUUCCACUUGAUUUGUCACUGGUUUUGUUUCACUGUUUUUUAUGAGUCGUUCAAUCUGCUCAGAAUUAAAAUUACUAACACCGAUAUUCUUCACAAGGCCCUUCUUUACCAGAUGUUCCAUGGCAUGCCAUGUAUCUAAAUAAUCUGUAUCUUCAGUGAGUAUAUUACCAUCGGCAUCUUGUGGGAAAAUAUCAUCAAGAUCACCAGUAUCUAUAACAGAGAUUAGUAUAAUUUUUUUAUUGUAGAUAUAGGCGUUAGUACUUUUCUUAACGAAAUGAAAGUACCUUUGAAAGCCAUUGGUGAAUGCAUCAAAUAAAGAUCAAGUGUUUCAAGACCAAGAUCAUUCAAGGUCUUUCUCAAGGCAGGUUCAACUUGUUCAGGUCGGUGUUUUGUAUUCCAUAAUUUACUAGUUACGAAAAUAUCCUCGCGUUUGAUAACACCUUCCUUAAUUUUCGCCGCGAUUCCCUUCCCUACAUUUUUUUCGUUCCGAUAUAUCGCAGCACAGUCAAAAUGACGGUAUCCAAUAUCAAUAGCAUCUUUUACAGCUUGGGUUACUUGAUCAGGUGUAGACUAUUUCAUAGAGUAAAUUAAUAUAAAUAUUAAUUAAUAGCGACAAAAGUUUCUAAGGAUAUUCGAAUUUUACAAAAUGAAAUGUAUAAAAUUAUACAAUUUUAAAUAUGCUUUUGUUAUAAAAAAAAUUUCACUGAGUUUACAUUUAUUAUGUAAAAAUUUAAUAGUACAACUUAGUUAUUCAAAGUUAGGUUAUCCUACAUAUUAAAUUAAGGAGCGCUUAAUACCUUUAAAAAAUUUUACUAUAAUAUAAUGAAACCAACCUUCCAAGUGCCCAAACCCAAUAUAGGAUAUUUAAAACCAUUGUAAAAGGCUAUAACUUGUUGCGCCAUGUUGAAGUACACUCCUCAAAGAACUGAAGACAGGUCAUUUGUCCACUACAAUUUAUACUGUUUUCCUAACUGAUAAUAGUUUUGAAUAAUGAUUACGUAAUCACUGUAAAAGAUAGCAACUGUUUACAUUACAAACUUUUUAUGUUCAGUCUUUGUUUCUUAUCUUGUAUUUCAGAUAUCUUAUAUUACUUAUAUAACUUUGUAUUUCUUUAUGAAGGACUUUAGUAAAAUGAAAAAAAAAUACACACGUGUAUAUAUUUCAACAAAAUUUAUUUUAUAUGAACAUUCACGUAAAAAAUUAGCAGACAGGCAUACAUUUCAAAUUUUGCAAUAAUACCAAUUUGUGUAACUGGAUGUUUCUUUCAACUAAAUUUUUUUCUUAGAAAGGAAUAUUGAAGGGGUAAUGGGGGCUUGACUCCGUGCUGAAACAGGAAUAAAUUUUAUCGUGAAAACGUUAGUUCAAAUAGUAACGAGUAAGAAGUAAAACUUAUGAGGAGUAAACUAUAUUUACCCAAACAUUGGGCAGAUUCUGCCAUUACAAUCAAAGGUAUCAAUAUAUGCAAUAUCUUCUGGGCUGAGUUUGAAGUCGAAGACCUCGCUAUUCUGUGCAAUUCGCGAUUUCGUAACUGACUUGGGAAUCACAAUGUGCCCACGGUCCAACUACAAUAGAUUUUCGUAAAUAUUAUAAAUUCUAACAAUUUAGUAUAUACAUAUUUAUGUACGCAUAUUCUUAUUCAAAAAAUGUAUGUGUCGUGUGUACCUGGUAUCUGAUUAAAACUUGUGCAGGUGUUUUAUUAUACUUCUUUGCCAGUUCACCCAACUUUUUGUCCUCCAACAGUUUCGGAUCAUCAGGUUUAGCCCAUGGCCUAUCAGGAGAUCCAAGUGGACUGUAUGCUGUAAUAAGAAUACCUUUUUCCUUGCAGAAUUCAGAAAGCUUUUUCUGAAUUAAAUAUGGAUGACAUUCAAUCUGUAAAGAGAUGCACAUUAUAGAAGUAUAUUCAUUAAAAACAAUUGUGAAUUUUAAGGAAAAUUAAUACUUACUUGAUUUGUAACUGGUUUGACGGUAGUAUUUUUCAAUAGCCUCUCUAUUUGUUCAGAGUUGAAAUUACUAACACCAAUAUUUUUUGUGAGUCCCUUAGUUACUAAACUUUCCAUGGCCUUCCAUGUGUCUAAAUAGUCAUCAUUUGUUAAGGCAAUACUGUCAUCAGCAUUCUUUGGGAAAAGAUCAUCGCCCUCUUUAUAUGCCAUUGGCCAAUGAAUCAGGUAUAGAUCUAAAUAUUCCAAACCCAGAUUGGACAAAGUCUUUUUGAUGGCUGGUUCAACCAAGUUUGGUUUGUGGAAGGUAUUCCAUAAUUUGCUCGUGAUAAAAAGGUCCUGCCUUUUCACGACACCUUCAGCGAUUUUAGCUUGAAGGGCAGCACCAACUUCUUUUUCAUUUCCGUACACAUGGGCGCAAUCAAUAUGACGAUAUCCCAAAUCAAUGGCAUCUUUAACUGCUUGAGUGACUUCGCCGGGUUUGGACUAUAAUAAAACAUGAAUAUUAAUAAUAAUUUCUUUGAUAUAUAUCAUUUUUAUUCAUUUUAUAUUGCUUAUCAUUAAGUCGUGUAAUAUGGAAUGUCGAAUUUUGCGGAAAAAAAGAAAUCUUAUUUGAUAUUUUAAAAGACGUUUAUUCAAUCAAAAUAUGCUCUGUUCGAUUCGAUACACUUCUGGCAACGUAUUUUCGAUGAAUAUAUACCUUUUUUGAAAAAUUCUGAAUGUUUAGAAUUAAUAAAUUUUAAAAACAUCGUUAUAAACUAUUGUUUCAGGUCUACCACGUGGCUUAUUUUGCAAAGAAAUAUCACCGAAAAAAAUUUCGCAGAUCAACGCUGAACUCUUCUUUCAUUCGCAGCAUUGUCCCCAACGUUUGAAUUUACACAAGAAAACUUAUAUGAAUUUUGGCGGUAUCCAUAUUUUACUCUGAUAAUCAGUAACAAAAUUUUAAUCAUUUUAGUGCCAAGCGGCGAGAUCACGCUUCUCAGAUAUACUUCCUGAAAGUGCCAUCCUACCGGUUAGUAGAAUCAAAUGAAGUUUAUAUAUUCGUUUUCCUUCUAAUUAUUUGUUUUUAAUUUUGUUAUCGCCUGCUUAGAAAUGGAAAAAUGAAACGAGAGAAGCGUGAUCGCGGUUAUAUGAAAAACAAGGGAAUAACAACAACAGGAGUACUCACAAACAUUCACGACAACGGGUAAAUUCGCUGUACGAAGAAAGGAGCCCUAUGGAAAAUUACGGAGUCCGUUAAACGGGCAAAGGACAGAAUCCCUUGAUCGUCAACAAUGAAUGGACUACUAUACCAAGCAUAACAAUGCCAUUCCCAUCGUGACAAACGGAUCGCUACCGGUAGUAGUCUCAACGAAGGGUCAUGAUUCUCGAAAUUCCCUUCUUCGUCCUUUAAAAUGAAUAUUUAAUUUAUUUUGAUCAAAUAAACUGGUACAAGCCUAAUUUCACGGAACUUUAAGAUAACAAAAGCGAGAAAAGAAAAUGAAACUAAUACAUAAAAUGAUGGUAAUAAAAGAUGAUUUUCAAAUUGUUGACACGCCUUCAAAAAUGUCAUAGAAUCCUAUAGCGUUUGAUUAGGACCGUGGCAGCGAAGACGUUGCAAUAAUUAUUAUAAUAAAGUUCGCGGAUUUGCGUGUCUUUCGAGAAUUAUCUAAUCACGACAAAAAAUAUAACAUCCCACUCGACAUUCUUCCAUUUCAACAUACAAAGUCAGAUAAACUGUCCUGAUACAGCAUUGUUGCAGCGUAACAGGAUUAAGUAAUCGAGUCAUAGAGAGACAACGAGAAGGAUUUUUUAUCGAUUAGCAUUGUCAAGGGUAGUUUUUAAAUGAGGUUUAAUUGACAGAGUUAAAUGCGUUUAAUUAAUUGGAAAGGUAUAAAAUAUCCGGAUGUAAGAAUAUACAUUUAAUACUGGAACUACUGAGUCGUCGGAGGAAAUUAUUUAUGUAGUGAAUCAUAAUUCCAAAUGGAAAUUACAGAAGUGCAUUUAAGCGUUAAAUUAAACGAUUCUAUAAGAGUUACUGUUACGCCACGUUACGUUAGAAUAUAAGAAACUUUGAGACAUGUAAGAUUUUUAUCAAUUAUAGAAGUACUUUUCUUUCGGAUAAGAUCGCCGAUAAUUACGUAAUGUCGCGAUAGGAAUGAACAGAGCGGCGUACAAUAUCGUGUGCAAAUACGAUUUCCUAAUUUUUAAAUUAAAACGAAAGGGAGCACUCGAGAAAUUCUGAGAAUGUCUAUUUCAAUGGAGCAAAAGUUUACGAAAUCAAGGAGCCUAAGAUGAGAAUCCUAUUACAAUGGUCUCCUAUAAAAAGCUGUUCCAGGGUUUCAUUCAAAGUAAAAUCUUUUAUGGAAUCGUUUCAGUUCUUAAUCAUUUUUUCUUGGUAAUGACUGUUAAUAAUGUUUCUAGGUACCGUGAUAGGCUUUUUUUUAUAGGACGGCCAGUCGUUCGACGCGCUGUCCUCGAAGCAGAAGUGGUGAGACACGCUCACUUUCCAGAAAAUUCAAAACUUGACGAUAUUUAAAUCUUCCAAGAAAAUUCUAUUUCUUUCUCCUAAAUUUCUUAAAGAAAAUCUAUGCUCCCUGCAUUGUUUAUUGCUAUUGUUCUCUUUGUUCAAGGUGUCUAUUAUUGGUUCCAAGAUGUAGUGACCAAGGAAGUGGCAAAGGAAGAGGUCCUCUUGAUGGUUCGGUUAGAGAAAGCGUCAGUAAAACAGAAAAUAGGUUUAUUUCUCGCAGAGUAUCGCUGUACAUCAAGCAACUCGUAUCCUUAUUAGAUUUUACUAACAUUUCUAUUUUAUAUUUUAAAUAUCCCAGAUCUUUUGCACUGCAAUUAAUCCCAGCAGUAGCCAAUACUUGCUGUAUACUUUUUACUACCAGGAGGAUUCUAGAUCUUUAGUUUCAAACGCGGCCGUUGUCCCACUGACACUUUGACAUACUUUCCAAAAUAUUUUUAUUUAUUUUCCGCCGGUGGAAUCGCGUUCAAAGAGAAAAAAAUAUUCUCGAUUAGCAUGGAGCGAUAACGCUUUAUUUAAUGAGAACUGCUACUCUAUCAAGGAUUCGAUUUGAAUUGGAUCUAGAUCCGCGCGUAGGGUGAUAUUAAUUUAAACAGUUCAAUUUUCGUUAGAUCUAUUUGUUCACGAUUAUGUUGGACACUUUUUACAAUCUACUUUCCUCUUAAUACUAGCUAUUCCAACCAAGGUAAUCUUUUCCAUAAUUACCUCCAUACACGUUACAGCCAUUCACUCACAAAUAUAAUACAAUAUAUUUAUUUUCAAGAGUAUCAAAAGCGGGGUGCAGUUUCAACGGUGUUCGUCCAAGUUUUCCAAUACUCUCCGGCAUUUGAGCAAAUGAAACUAUUGAAACGCCCUACGGUGGCUCGGUAUCAUAUGAAAGAGUGAAUCAAGCAGCAUAAAGAGAGCUUCAUUCGCCUCGGCUACUCCCGACCGCACAGUAAAACAAACAAAAACGAUCGAUACGUAACUAGUACCUAGAAUAGAGUAACAGUAGAACAGAUCUAUAUCGAGAAAUUACUUUCCCAGCCGGAGUCUAGACGAACGGCCGAGAACUCGCUUUUCUUCGACUCGUAAAGCGAUUUGCGGAACGUGGAGUUGUUCUGCGGAUCAUCGAACACGAUAUCGGACACGUUCGAGCAUUCCGGGGAGUCCCAAAGCUUGCUGGAGAAACUGUCGUCCGUGUCGUUGAACCAAUCGAACUCGUCGGUGUCCUCCGAGUAGCGGAGAAGCAGUGGGUGCACCGAGAUCUUCCUCUUGACUGCCGAUUCGGUCACACCUUCCUCCGGAAGCUCGCUCUUCUCAUGCUCCAGGAACAGCCUCGGUGUCCCGUUCGUCGAGUGUUUGUCCAGGAACCGAUUGACCAAGCCGUUCGUCGGAUUAGACUCGUCUCUAGGCUUCGCAAGCGUGUUCUUCUUCUGCGUUUCCGACGUGUCGCGCGGGGAGAACCCUAUCAAGACUUCUUCCUUCGCGAUCACGCUGAACGUGACGAUAUCCGGAAUACUGGACACUGGAGUCGUCAACCUCGAACCUGCGAACAGUUUCGACCCCCACCUCGAGGCUUUGCUCUUUAUCGCGUCCUUGCAUUCCAUCACCUCUGCGAGCAUCUUAGACUUCCAUGAUCCGCAAAGGGUCGUCGUUGGAGAUUGAUUGCAAGAUCGACCGGGGAUGAGUCUCUCGCAAGUCGGCGUACGGGGAUCCGGUUUCGGGUCGAAUCUGGAAUUGGUCGGCAACGUUCGUCCUCUGUGUGACAGGAUUCAAAAGCAGCUUCUCGAUCAUCGCGAACAUAGCAACGAGUCGGAAUUGAAUUGUUUGAAUCAUGUUUACACUGCUAGGAGAUCGCUCGAUGGCUGAGGAAUUCGGCAGAUCGGUUCACAGUUUUUUUUCUCGGCUAACUUUCCGUUGGUUUUAUUUCCUAAUUCUUAAUAUUAUCCUUAAUUGAUUUACUACUCGUUAAUACGGUCACGUGAAACCAAUCGAAACUAUAAAACUGUGAAUGAAACACCUCCUGCCCCUGCGCCGUUCCGCUAGAUAUCAAGUUAUCUCCUAAGUGUACUCAGCGACCGAAUCUAUUUGCAUUGCCGUCUGGUAAUUUCACGGUACUCACGUCCGAGCUAUGUGAUUCAUGGCACGAUCGAUACCUCCGCUGCGAAAUUUAUUGCGAAUAUCUGGAACACGAUAACGAGCACUUCCAACCACCGCUUUUGCCGUACUGUGCGCGCUCGUAAAGGUCGUUGUUGAAUUAUUUACUAAACACCGCAGGUUACCCAGGAAAUUCGCGGUCAUGACUUAUACGCGGUCACACGACAGACGGAAUGCCUAGAAUCAUUUCAGUAAAAUUCCCCUGUCGCCCUUAAUCGCCCACUAACCGUUUAAUCCCGAAUUUUGUGUUAACGAACUUGAACGAUUAGCGGUUGCGGUUCUCAUUCACGGUGGCGUGCAUUCUCGCGUUCACGGUGAUAAAUAUUGCGCCUCAUGACGCUGGGGAGGACGAGCACGAUGGAAAGUACCGGCAACGGGCCGGUACAGCGAAAAAUUCCAUCCCGCACGCGGGGAGCGGAUAUAGGAGGAGGUAAUUUCGCUCGUUGAGCAAAUCACUUGAAAAAGGAUCCUCGCCCACAUCUUUCCAAUCCGUUGAACUUGAAGUAGACUAACCUUGAACUCGCUAUGGCAAUAAAUCAUGCUCCCUGUGCGUAAAAUUACUUCUAACAGGUUGGAGACGCUACUAAUUUAUAGAAGCGGUAAUUCGCAUAAAAAUCCAUAGUCUAAUUAUCGCGUUUCUAUUAAUCUGUUGAAAGUAUACUUUCCUACAAAAGGCAGGGAAGAUCGAAUGACAAAACUGUACAGUUAAAGGGUUGACACACGAGGUGCGGUUAGAUGUGGCUGCAGCGUGCCAGUGACCUUCGGUUCUGCUUCACUUCGUUAAUUGUGUUUCCACUGCCGCAUUUCAACCAAUCUUGGAACAUGAUGUUACGAUCGGUUCUCGGAACGUGUCAAUGCUAAAAAUGAACUCGAAGAAAGUUACAGCUAAUGGAAGAGUUCCUGUAUCGCGUACAAUGCAAUGGAUAAUUUGGAAAAUUUGACGGUAACUUUGACAAAUUAUUUUUAACGUUAUAUAAAUAUUCGCGGUCCGGCUAGAAACGAAAUCAUACCGUGAAAUGUGAAACGCUAUGCAUUCUAUUAUUUCAUUAACAGAGUCUGUUGUCUAUCGAUGCGAUGUCAAACAAAUAUUUUAUUUACAUAUUUCGUCUUGUUACAUGGUGGCCCGGUUCUGUGCCGUUUGCGGCCGGUGUAUCAUUCGAAACGAGCCAUCGAAAUUUUCCAUGGCGGUCAAUAAACCUAAUUGACUGGAUGAGGGUCAAACGGGUGCCGAAUUACAGCGUGAGAUUAUGUAAGUUCAAAGAGGGUAUGCCUCACUAUUAAUUCCGUGCUGAAUCUGACAGGCUGUUUCCUGCUGGCGCAACACGUCGUCGUCGGGGAACGUUUACUUUCAAAAUGGAUAGUACUUGUGACCUAUAGCGCUGGAAAACAGAUUGGAAAUUCAAUGUUAAUCGAUGCGCGUGAGAGUGAAUAAGAAUUAAUUCGUAUAUUUGUGAUAUUUACUCGUGGAAACUUGAAAUACGGGCUCCACUCGCGAUAGUCGCAAUGGCCGCCAUUUCUUCAGCAGUGAGGGAAAAAUCGAAUAUGUCUAUGUUCUCCUUCAGACGACUAGGUGUUACCGUUUUCGGGAUGAUCGCUACACCUUGUUGCGCCUAGAAAAUGUCCCACGGAAAGUCAAAAUCAGAUUUCGCAUUGCAAGAUUAGAGUCAUCAGAAAACGCUUCUUUGUCUAUAGCCGAUAUUGUUAAAAACAAAGUCCACGAUUCACGUAUCGAUAACGUGCUUCUAAUUCUCUGGGUUAAUCGUUUCAAUGCCUUGAUUGAGUAAUUUCGAACGGCCGUUAUCUUUCACAUGAUACUGCUAAUAGUUAUUAUUCACAUUCGCUAAGAUAUGUCAUUAAAUUAUCUGUCAGGUGUAUCAGCAGAAUAUAUGGUAAAAAAGGCUCGAUAAAGGAACGCUCUGUGUAAUUACUCACCACGUAACGCAGAGCUAUUUGUGCCGGGGUUUUCUUGUAUUUCUGCGAGAGCUCGACGAUUUUCGGAUGGUCCAGGUUGUUUGAUAUACCGUGCUUGUUUCCCGGUUGACUCAACGGCGAAAACGCGGUCACCGUGAUCUUGUGUUUCGCGCAGAACUCGAUUAACGGCUUUUGAUUCAAGUUCACGUUGACUUCGAUCUGCACAUUAAUAAAAUUCAUUUAGUUAGGAACCGGUUGACGCAUCUCUUUGAACAGAGCGAUUAAUGAUUACCUGAUUAUUCACAGGCAUAGUCUUAGACGCCUCGAGCAAACGAGUCAGCUGUUCGAUGCUGAAGUUACUGACACCUAUACUCUUUGUGAGUCCUAACUUCAGGCAUUCUUCCAUUCCUCUCCAUGUCUCCAAGUAAUCGGUGUCUGUCAGUAAGAGAGCACCAUUGGCAUCCCGAGGCGUUAAAUCACCGCCUUCCUAACGGGUGGUCAAUUAUUAUUUGCAUAUCAUUUGUGAAAGUAAUCUGAAUAACUUACCGCGAACGCGAACGGCCAGUGAACCAAGUAUAAGUCGACGUAACUCAGUCCAAGGUUCUCCAAGGACUUCUUACAUGCUGGUACCACGCUUUCUUCUUUAUGGAAAUUGUUCCAGAGCUGAAGAAGUUAUACAUAAAUUUACUCGUGGAAUGAUUUCAUGAUUAAUUCAUUAUCGUACAUUUUGAUAUUAUAUUUUGUAUUAUAAUAAUAUUACCUUGGUUGUGAUGAACAGAUCUUCUCUCUUCACGGUACCGUCCUUGAUUUUUGCUUGAAUUGCUCUGCCAAUUUCAAUUUCAUUUUGGUAAAAAAACGCCGUGUCAAUGUGACGGUAACCAACAGUUAUCGCCUCCAUCACGGCCCUUUCCACUUCCCCUGCACGGGACUAAUGGAUAAUAAUUCAUUGCGUUAUAAAUUUUCAAGUUUAAUUAAUAUUUUUAGGGUAUUACGCAUUCUCAGUUCAGGAACAUUCGAAUUGCGUGCGCUAUGUACCACGUGUUACAGGUUUAGAAAAUUUUCAUAAUGGAGGGGACUUCAGAAUGAUUCCUCUCAGGAGAAUAGUCAAUAUUUUCUUCGACUUCUUUGAUAAGCAAUAUUUAAUUAAUAUUGCGUUAUACGGUGAAUGAAUUGUAUAUUAAUAUUUACCUGAUAUGUGCCCAGGCCAACAAUUGGCAUUUUCUGUCCAUUGAGAAACGUGAGGUGAUUGGGUAUUUGUGUCAUUAUGAAAGAAUAGAUUAAGCCAGAAGAGCGUUUAGACGUUUAGAAAAGAACUAACCUAUUUUCUAUUCACAGACUAUUUUAUACUUCUGUUCUACUUUAAGAUGUAGGCUCUUCUCGUGAACAAUGCGGAAUAGUUUGGUAUGUAAGCGACUACGCAAGGCAAGCGCGUUACCUCCGUUUUUACCACUCAUCGUAGAUAAACAUUACAUAACAGAUGGAAAGAUACGUAUAAUAUUUAACGGUCAAGAUUAGAAAUUCUACUAACGUUAAUAAUACAUCGACAUCGUACAACCAUCCAAUACAGUUAUCUAAGUGAAUAAUCAUGUUCGCAAAAACAAAUGCGAAAGCAAGGUGCAAUUGACACUAUCUUGCAAAUAUUAAUAAAUUAAAAUGGGAAACGGAGGAAACUGAAAUGAACUUGAUGAUGUCUCAGGACAAUCUCAUUUGUAUAAAAUAAAAAUAUUUAUGGACCAAUAUAAUGGUUACAAGCAUAAAAAUAUGAUAAUGCAAACAAAUAUCACAUGGUUGAUGAAAUUUCCAAAUGAAAAUACUUUUGAAUUCAGUUAUCAGCUGAACUUCUUAGAACUCUAUAUUGAAUGGAUAAUCUUUGUGGUCCUUGAAUCUAAACAAAAAAAAAAUUUAUAUUCAAACUUGAGGAAUGACAGAACCUUAAUUAAAUAAUAAAACUUACUGUAUGCAAGGGCAUAUUCGAGUUCCAUUAUCAAGCGUAUCUAGCAAUGCAACUUCCUCUGGUGUCAAUUUAAAGUCAAAGAUAUCAAUAUUUUGCUUAAUACGAUCUUUUGAUUUGGAUUUUGGUAUAGGAAUUGUAUCAAUAUCAACCUGCAAUAAGAAACAUGUUCAAUGAAUCUCAUGUCACUCAGAAUGAAUUAUCAAAUAUUGCAAUCGAAUUUACCAAAUAUCUCAAAAUGAUUUGGGCGGGUGAUUUCCCAUACUUCUUGCCGAGUUUAAGUAAUUCCGGCGCGUCUAUCGUGACUUGAGGAUCACCGGGUUUUACCCAGCUUCGCUUUGGUGAGCCAAACGGGCUAUAAGCGGUAACAGCUAUACCACGUUCAGCGCAGAACUUUCGUAAUUUUUUCUGGUUCAAAUUUGGAUGACAUUCAAUUUGGUUCAUAACCGGUUUAAUUUCGGCCACCGAUAAAACGCGUUCGAUUUGCUGAGAAUUGAAAUUGCUGAGACCGAUACUUUUCGUUAGCCCUAAUUUCACGCAUUCUUCCAUACCACGCCAAGUGUCUAAAUAAUCUUCAUCUCCACACAUGGGAUUUCCAUGUUCAUCUAUUGGCCAUAUAUCUUUUCCGAAUCCCUAAAAUGUAUAGACAUAGGUAUAAAUGUAGGUACAUAGUGAUCAUGGUCUUUUAAAGUCACUUUGGAAUGUUUCUUAAAUCUUACAGAAAAUGCCAUAGGCCAGUGAACUAGGUAGAGGUCCACAUAAUCAAGACCAAAAUUUUUCAAAGACUGUUUGCAGGCUGGUACAACUUCCUCCUUUUUGUGAAAUGUAUUCCAUAACUGCAAAUAAAAUAAUCUAACUGUUUAAAUGUUUAGUAAGAACUGUUACCUAAAACAAUUAUUUAUAGAUAGUAGAUUUUACAUACUUAUAGCAUGCUAUGUAUAUUUUGCACAAUGAAAUAAAAUGAUUCGGUUGAGCGUUAUCCAAAAGAUCGUUCAAAUUACUUUCGGCAUGAUAUAAUUCUUGAUAAGAGAAACAAGUUUUAAAAUAACUUGUGUACAGAUAACUAAGCACUAUGACUUACGAGUAAUGAUAAAAUUUUAUCGAAAUGGUCUGUCAACGCUUAUUCUCCAUACACCUAAUUAUAUACCUUUGUUGUGAUAAACAGGUCUUCUCUCUUCACGACUCCUUCUUCAAUUUUCUCGCGAAGAGCUUUUCCAAUUUCCUUCUCGUUUCCAUAAAUGAAAGCACAGUCGAAAUGCCGGUAUCCGGCAUCCACUGCAUCACGUAUGGCUUGCUGAACAACUUUAGGUUCGUCCUUCAAAUGGAAGUAUGAUUAUUAAGAAUAAAGAUAUUUCUGUAACAUUAUUAUGUAACUACUUACUGCUCCUUGCCAGGUGCCAAGCCCUAAUACGGGCAUUUUUUGUCCGUUGUUUAAAGUAACCGUUGGUGCAGCCAUCGUUAUAAUUUAUACGAUAAUCAGUAUUCGCUUAGAUGUUUCUGAAACACGUAUGCGUACGAUUCUGUCGUUACGUGAAUAUAUAAACCUCACGAGCGAAUGUCCCCCCACUUGUUGCGCCAGUUUCAUUACUUUCAACCGUUAUUACGUCGUUAUUAAAAAAUGUUAUAUGAAUGAGCAGUGAGAAGUAUUGAUCAACAAUUUAUAUCAGAUUAUAGCAGUAUCUAGUUGUUAUCAUUAACAUCAUAGUAUUAGUAAUUUAAUCUAUUAGAGUCCGUGAUAUUACUGUGUAGUUAAUUUAUACGUGUUGCCCAAUAUAUAUGGAAAUGUUAAACAGUAACUUUUAAAUAUACAAAAUAUAUUGAUAUUUACAAUUGUAUAAAUGUUACAAAUAAUGCGAUUACAAUUUUGUACAAUUUAGGAUUUAAUGAUCAGAUAGAUAAAUACAAUUUUAUCGAUUACAAA
Non-coding RNA from Nomia melanderi (Alkali bee), 16694 nucleotides. NCBI's taxonomy places the organism in Eukaryota, Metazoa, Arthropoda, Insecta, Hymenoptera, Halictidae. The record is from RefSeq and is a predicted model, not a curated record.